UUCUGUGUUGUAGCUGUCUGGCCAGGGUGACUGGCGGAUAAGGUCUUGUGCGUGGCCUCGAGGCUUAAAAGUAGCAGCGGUGCUUUGUGAAGGACAAAAUGGCGAUGGCGGGCCGUGCAGGUCCCCCUUCCUAUGAUGAGGACCUUUUCACAGACCUGUACUGAGCUCCGUGAGGAUAAGUACCUCUGAGGAGAUGGGUCCUGCAAGCCUCCUGCUUAGCUGUCUGUUCAGAAAAUAGUGUUUUCGAAAUAACCUGUGUUGACCUAAUGUCUUAUUUGGCUCCUGUCUGCAGGGUUUACGCGCACGUUGGAAUCGAAGAGAGCUCUGUUGUUGCAAUGUUCAGCCCACAAGAGCUUACAGGUGAAGGAAUGGGACAAGACCCAUCUUUAUGCAAAGCCAGCGUUACAGUAAUGUUCCAGGUAGGUGUACAUGGUUUAUGCACUUAUAGAGGAGACCUUGCUAGAUAACCACUCCAUGAUGAACACAAAAUGACAAGCAUAUGGCUGAACUUAUCAAGUGAUGUCAUCUUACUACUGAGAAGUGAGAGAGAGGUCUUAAGGGGUCUUUGAAUGACUAUUUUUAGGUACAUAAAAUGACUUCCUCUGUUUUCUACAGCAUCUCAUAAUCUAUCCUGAGGAAUUCAGCUGCCUCCCAGGGUGAAUACAGGUAAUUAUCCAAAUUGGUAUAUGUCAUCUCUAAAUGUUCACAGGAAAACAAGUGGCCGGCGGAAGCAAUAUUGUUUUUUGGCGCCUUCCAUCUUGUUCCUCUUGAAAUGAUUUUCUGGGGAGGGAGAUCGCAACCCGGUACUACAGUUCUUGUAAGGGUGUGCUGUUACCCUCAUCCAUAUAUCGAUCACGUUACUGUCAGAUGAUUUGA
RNAcentral lists this small RNA (876 nucleotides) under Pongo abelii (Sumatran orangutan). RNAcentral's name for it is "retained intron". The stretch from base 470 to 542 matches the Rfam family "Small nucleolar RNA SNORD27". Lineage: Eukaryota; Metazoa; Chordata; Mammalia; Primates; Hominidae. The record is from RNAcentral.